RNAcentral lists this ribosomal RNA (580 nucleotides) under Usnea himalayana. RNAcentral describes it as "eukaryotic LSU rRNA". The stretch from base 214 to 367 matches the Rfam family "5.8S ribosomal RNA". The record is from RNAcentral. Lineage: Eukaryota; Fungi; Ascomycota; Lecanoromycetes; Lecanorales; Parmeliaceae.
UCGUUGGGGGACCUGCGGAGGUCAUUACCGAGAGAGGGGCUUCGCGCUCCCGGGGGCUUCGGCCUCCACCUCUUCACCCAUUGCGUACGCACCUCUGUUGCUUUGGCGGGCCAUGGGGCUUCGCCCUACGCCGGCCUCUGGGUCGGUGAGCGCCCGUCAGAGGCCCUUUAAAUUCCGUCUAUAGUGAUGUCCGAGUAAAACACAAAUAGUAAAAACUUUCAACAACGGAUCUCUUGGUUCCAGCAUCGAUGAAGAACGCAGCGAAAUGCGAUAAGUAAUGUGAAUUGCAGAAUUCAGUGAAUCAUCGAAUCUUUGAACGCACAUUGCGCCCCUCGGUAUUCCGGGGGGCAUGCCUGUUCGAGCGUCAUUACCCCCCUCAAGCGUAGCUUGGUAUUGGGUCUCGCCCCUUGGGCGUGCCCGAAAAGCAGUGGCGGUCCGGAGCGACUUUGAGCGUAGUAAAUUAUCAUCCCGCUUUGAAAGAUCGUCUCGGGGCCUGCCAAAAACCACAAAUAUUCUAUAAUUGACCUCGGAUCAGGUAGGGAUACCCGCUGAACUUAAGCAUAUCAAAGGCGGGAAGGAA